UACGUAGGGGGCAAGCGUUGUCCGGAUUUAUUGGGCGUAAAGCGCUCGCAGGUGGUCCGUCGCGUCGUGCGUGAAAGACCCCGGCUCAACUGGGGAGGGUCGUGCGAUACGGGCGGACUGGAGGCCAGUAGGGGGAUGCGGAAUUCCGGGUGUAGUGGUGGAAUGCGUAGAGAUCCGGAGGAACACCAGCGGCGAAGGCGGCAUCCUGGACUGGUCCUGACACUCAGGAGCGAAAGCCAGGGGAGCAAACGGG
RNAcentral lists this ribosomal RNA (253 nucleotides) under uncultured bacterium. RNAcentral describes it as "partial 16S ribosomal RNA". It matches the Rfam family "Bacterial small subunit ribosomal RNA", at positions 524 to 776 of the family's 1533-position model. The record is from RNAcentral.